RNAcentral lists this ribosomal RNA (490 nucleotides) under uncultured bacterium. RNAcentral's name for it is "SSU rRNA". It matches the Rfam family "Bacterial small subunit ribosomal RNA", at positions 26 to 521 of the family's 1533-position model. The record is from RNAcentral.
AGAUUGAACGCUGGCGGCAUGCCUUACACAUGCAAGUCGAACGGUAACAGGUUAAGCUGACGAGUGGCGAACGGGUGAGUAAUAUAUCGGAACGUGCCCAGUAGUGGGGGGAUAGCCCGGCGAAAGCCGGAUUAAUACCGCAUACGACCUACGGGUGAAAGCGGGGGAUCGCAAGACCUCGCGCUAUUGGAGCGGCCGAUAUCAGAUUAGCUUGUUGGUGGGGUAAAAGCCCACCAAGGCGACGAUCUGUAGCUGGUCUGAGAGGACGACCAGCCACACUGGGACUGAGACACGGCCCAGACUCCUACGGGAGGCAGCAGUGGGGAAUUUUGGACAAUGGACGAAAGUCUGAUCCAGCCAUGCCGCGUGCGGGAAGAAGGCCUUCGGGUGUAACCGCUUUGUCAGGGAAGAAAGUCUCGGGUUAAUACCUUGGGAUGAUGACGGUACCUGAAGAAUAAGCACCGGCUAACUACGCGCCAGCAGCCGCGGU